This 21-nucleotide unclassified non-coding RNA is filed under the name Mus musculus (house mouse). RNAcentral describes it as "oocyte_clustered_small_RNA12506". The record is from RNAcentral. Lineage: Eukaryota; Metazoa; Chordata; Mammalia; Rodentia; Muridae.
AUCUCCUUCUACAUCCUGUCA